This 696-nucleotide ribosomal RNA is filed under the name uncultured bacterium. RNAcentral's name for it is "bacterial SSU rRNA". It matches the Rfam family "Bacterial small subunit ribosomal RNA", at positions 111 to 823 of the family's 1533-position model. The record is from RNAcentral.
UAACGCGUGAGGAACCUGCCUCAAAGAGGGGGACAACAGUUGGAAACGACUGCUAAUACCGCAUAAGCCCACGGCUCGGCAUCGAGCAGAGGGAAAAGGAGCAAUCCGCUUUGAGAUGGCCUCGCGUCCGAUUAGCUAGUUGGUGAGGUAACGGCCCACCAAGGCGACGAUCGGUAGCCGGACUGAGAGGUUGAACGGCCACAUUGGGACUGAGACACGGCCCAGACUCCUACGGGAGGCAGCAGUGGGGAAUAUUGCACAAUGGGGGAAACCCUGAUGCAGCGACGCCGCGUGGAGGAAGAAGGUCUUCGGAUUGUAAACUCCUGUUGUUGAGGAAGAUAAUGACGGUACUCAACAAGGAAGUGACGGCUAACUACGUGCCAGCAGCCGCGGUAAAACGUAGGUCACAAGCGUUGUCCGGAAUUACUGGGUGUAAAGGGAGCGCAGGCGGGAGAACAAGUUGGAAGUGAAAUCCAUGGGCUCAACCCAUGAACUGCUUUCAAAACUGUUUUUCUUGAGUAGUGCAGAGGUAGGCGGAAUUCCCGGUGUAGCGGUGGAAUGCGUAGAUAUCGGGAGGAACACCAGUGGCGAAGGCGGCCUACUGCGCACCAACUGACGCUGAGGCUCGAAAGUGUGGGUAGCAAACAGGAUUAGAUACCCUGGUAGUCCACACCGUAAACGAUGAUUACUAGGUGU